CCCCUCUGCGGACUUCCCGUUGGGCCUUGGAGUGAGAAAAGUGGGAAAGGUCAAGUCUUUCGGUGAGUGUGAAGGACGGUCCAGAUCAACGGCUGAGGAUGCUCGGAAGCUCCCCACUCUCUGACGCUCAGUUAACGGCGGAGAGGAGGCAGAUCUGUUAGGUUUCCGGCCCGCUCUUCCGCUUCCAGUCAUACACACCAGAUCCCCGAAGCAGAGAUGGCUGUGAUUUCGGCGGGUGAGGAGGUUCGAGCUGCUAACCAUGUACCCGCUGCCGGCCUGCUGGCUGGGCUCUGCUUCGCGGAGGCGUUGGAAACUUUAGCCGUCCUCAACUUCCUCCGUCUCUUCCUGAAGCAGGCGCUGCUCCAAUCUGCACACCGUUGUCGUCUCGGUAGGCUUUGUCUUCUUCGUUCCAUUUGGGGAGUGAUGGACAAAGCGUGGGGAAAAAGGACAUCGUCUUCUGGCGUAGAGGUGCCGGACAAUGGGUUACCGUUAUGUCGCUAAGUACUCGUCAUUAAAUGACGGAGGUACCCUUACGGAGAAGCAUAGUUUAAACGGUCGGCUGGUAGCUACAGUUAGGGUACGAAAGUCUUUAAAAUUGUAAGAGUAAAAGCUCCUCCCUCAAGACGGUGGUUGCACCUGAAAAAGAAAAAGGUGGAUUGUGUGGUUCAUGGGUAGGUGUCUUUCGACUUACAACCAGUUGUGAAAUUUACCCAUUUCUGUUUUUUGAACUGCGGUUAUCUACUUAAUCCAAGUUAGGUAGGGAAGAAAUUUUGUCAUUUGAAAAACUUUUCUCGCCACACGCUCUUUCCUGUGGUUAUGUUAUGCCGUUUCAUUAGAAAGAAAACAUUUUUUAUUAAUUGUUUAGAAGGACUAAUAUUGAGUAUCCAAGACAACAGUAGAGAUGUACUUGUCGACAUAUAAGGGGGCAUCAAUAUGUCAAAAGUAUGUCCAACAACUUUAGAUGGUAUGGUGAAUUGAACGUCGCCGUUAUUUGGUUGUCUUCUGAACUAUUUUUUGUUGACAAUUGGCAUAAUCAGACCAUCAAAGUGAAGGGAUUCGUCGAAACCAUAAGUAAAUCAUUUAUUUCUUUC
RNA transcript from Nymphaea colorata (pocket water lily), 1091 nucleotides. RefSeq lists it as uncharacterized. The transcript has 3 exons. Lineage: Eukaryota; Viridiplantae; Streptophyta; Magnoliopsida; Nymphaeales; Nymphaeaceae. The record is from RefSeq and is a predicted model, not a curated record.